CUCUAGUUCCUGGAUCCGUUCGUGCAGCACUGUCAUGGAGUCCAGCUCUGCCUGCUUCACAACUUGUAAGCCGCCCUCAGCUGCCCCUGCAGCUCUCUGUUUUGUUCAUGCAGCCUGAAGACCUCCUGAUGUGACUGCUCCAACUGUGGUGGUAAAAAGCACAAAUAAAUGAAACAGUUACAGCUUCCUAAAGGAGGAAUAGAUGAUUGGGAACAAGAAUUACUGAGUUCACUACCAGCUGCAUAAACCUGGAGAAUACACAAUGGAAG
Molecule: long non-coding RNA, 269 nt
Organism: Carcharodon carcharias (great white shark)
Lineage: Eukaryota; Metazoa; Chordata; Chondrichthyes; Lamniformes; Lamnidae
Exons: 3
Source: RefSeq, a predicted model, not a curated record